GAGUUUGAUCCUGGCUCAGAUUGAACGCUGGCGGCAUGCCUUACACAUGCAAGUCGAACGGCAGCAUGAUCUAGCUUGCUAGAUUGAUGGCGAGUGGCGAACGGGUGAGUAAUACAUCGGAACGUGCCCUGUAGUGGGGGAUAACUAGUCGAAAGAUUAGCUAAUACCGCAUACGACCUGAGGGUGAAAGUGGGGGGACCGCAAGGCCUCAUGCUAUAGGAGCGGCCGAUGUCUGAUUAGCUAGUUGGUGGGGUAAAGGGCCCACCAAGGCGACGAUCAGUAGCUGGUCUGAGAGGACGAUCAGCCACACUGGGACUGAGACACGGCCCAGACUCCUACGGGAGGCAGCAGUGGGGAAUUUUGGACAAUGGGCGAAAGCCUGAUCCAGCAAUGCCGCGUGUGUG
RNAcentral lists this ribosomal RNA (404 nucleotides) under uncultured microorganism. RNAcentral's name for it is "bacterial SSU rRNA". It matches the Rfam family "Bacterial small subunit ribosomal RNA", at positions 9 to 407 of the family's 1533-position model. The record is from RNAcentral.